GUCCAGACUCCUACGGGAGGCAGCAGUGGGGAAUAUUGCACAAUGGGGGAAACCCUGAUGCAGCGACGCCGCGUGAGCGAAGAAGUCUUUCGGUAUGUAAAGCUCUAUCAGCAGGGAAGAAAUUGACGGUACCUGAGUAAGAAGCUCCGGCUAAAUACGUGCCAGCAGCCGCGGUAAUACGUAUGGAGCAAGCGUUAUCCGGAUUUACUGGGUGUAAAGGGAGCGUAGGCGGCCUGCCAAGUCUGAUGUGAAAUGCCGGGGCUCAACCCCGGGGCUGCAUUGGAAACUGGCAGGCUGGAGUGUCGGAGAGGCAGGCGGAAUUCCUAGUGUAGCGGUGAAAUGCGUAGAUAUUAGGAGGAACACCGGCGGCGAAGGCGGCCUGCUGGACCGCGACUGACGUUGAGGCUCGAAAGCGUGGGGAGCGAACAGGAUUAGAUACCCCAGUA
Molecule: ribosomal RNA, 446 nt
Filed under: uncultured bacterium
Lineage: Bacteria
Description: partial 16S ribosomal RNA
Rfam family: Bacterial small subunit ribosomal RNA
Source: RNAcentral